RNAcentral lists this long non-coding RNA (1261 nucleotides) under Homo sapiens (human). RNAcentral describes it as "NIPBL divergent transcript". Lineage: Eukaryota; Metazoa; Chordata; Mammalia; Primates; Hominidae. The record is from RNAcentral.
UACGCCCGACUGCGUGUUAUUUCUGCGAAUAAGAACGCAACCUUUGGAGGUGAAGACGACUGUCGGCUGGAUUGAAUUGGAAUCGUGUUUGUGAUGAUGCGUUUAUUUCUGGAAAUACGCGGUCUCCGCUGCUUUUGCUUUUUGUCGGCAGAGGUUUGGGUUCUUCUCUAACGGUCAGGAUAAAGGCCUGUAGGCGACGCUGCGCGAGCGAGAAGCUCGCCCGCGGCUGCCCGGGCGCCCCCCUCUAGGUGUGGGUGGAGCCGAGCGCGCGGGGAGAACCGCCGGCCCCGACUCAGCCACCGGUGACUGCGGGCGACCCGCGGGCCUGCGGCCAGCUGAUUUCAAACAUCGUUUUCCUCUUUAGGUUCGGAAAACUGAGGCGCUGGACAAGGCUGGAAUACAAUAUGUGAUUAUACGUACAGUACUAUGGUUGUUGUAGUUUUUAAAUUGUAAAACAAGAAGUAACCAUUGUUCCACCGUUCUCUAUUAAGUUUGUGUAAAUUAAAAAGGGGCUAUUUUCGGUAAAAAGUGCAGUAGACGAAGUCUUGCUCUGUCACCCAGGCUGGAGUGCAGUGGUGCAAUCUCGGCUCACUGCAAGCUCCGCCUCCCGGUUCACGCCAUGCUUCUGCCUCAGCCUCCCCAGUACCUGGGACUACAGGCGCCCACCACCACGCCCGGCUAAUUUUUUGUACUUUUAGUAGAGAUGGGGUUUCACCGUGUUAGCCAGGAUGGUCUCCAUCUCCUGACCUCGUGAUCCCCCGGCCUCGGCCUCCCAAAGUGUUGGGAUUACAGGCGUGAGCCACUGUGCCUGGCCUUACUGUUUAUGUUUUCAUGCAUCUAUACCUUAUGUUACUAAAUCAAAGUGACCAGUUCCACAUUAUACUACAAGUUUCACUGUGUAAUGCAUAAGAAUUACACAGAGGGAAGGGCCUCAAAAAAUGCACUUCUGAAGUAUUUUAAUGUAAAAUUAUUUAAGACCAUAAAGUUUCAUGAAAGCCUAAUCUUUCUGGAACCUACACAUACUCUGCAUGUGAACCAGAGUUAAACUAGUCAAGUAUUUUAAUACUGAACUAAUCUGGAAAAACAUCAUUUAAAAAAUUACUGUAUUUAUGAAGGAAGAAUAUAAAAUCUGUUAAAAACUUAAAACAUCUAAAAUAGGUAUGAAGAGAGGCUUAUGGUGCUCAUUUUAACAGCAUUCUUGAGUAGGUUACCUUGCAGUCAAAGCAUCUGCUCCAGACCAGUGUUUUAAACUGUGGAUUAU